Molecule: ribosomal RNA, 253 nt
Filed under: uncultured bacterium
Lineage: Bacteria
Description: partial 16S ribosomal RNA
Rfam family: Bacterial small subunit ribosomal RNA
Source: RNAcentral
UACGUAGGGUGCGAGCGUUGUCCGGAUUUAUUGGGCGUAAAGAGCGUGUAGGCGGCUAUACAGGUCCGCUGUGAAAACUCGAGGCUCAACCUCGAGACGUCGGUGGAAACCGUAUGGCUAGAGUCCGGAAGAGGAGAGUGGAAUUCCUGGUGUAGCGGUGAAAUGCGCAGAUAUCAGGAAGAACACCGGUGGCGAAGGCAGCUCGCUGGGACGGUACUGACGCUGAGACGCGAAAGCGUGGGGAGCGAACAGG